This 490-nucleotide ribosomal RNA is filed under the name uncultured bacterium. RNAcentral describes it as "bacterial SSU rRNA". It matches the Rfam family "Bacterial small subunit ribosomal RNA", at positions 28 to 507 of the family's 1533-position model. The record is from RNAcentral.
GAUGAACGCUAGCUACAGGCUUAACACAUGCAAGUCGCGGGGCAGCAUUUCCUUAGCUUGCUAAGGAAGAUGGCGACCGGCGCACGGGUGAGUAACGCGUAUCCAACCUUCCCAUGUCCACGGGAUAGCCCGUCGAAAGGCGGAUUAAUACCGUAUGAGGUCACAUGCGGGCAUCUAAGUGUGACGAAAGGUUUAGCGGACAUGGAUGGGGAUGCGUCCGAUUAGCUUGUUGGCGGGGUAACGGCCCACCAAGGCGACGAUCAGUAGGGGUUCUGAGAGGAAGGUCCCCCACAUUGGAACUGAGACACGGUCCAAAACUCCUACGGGAGGCAGCAGUGAGGAAUAUUGGUCAAUGGGCGAAGCCUGAACCAGCCAAGUAGCGUGAGGGAUGACUGCCCUAUGGGUUGUAAACCUCUUUUAUAAGGGAAUAAAGUGAGCCUCGUGAGGCUUUUUGCAUGUACCUUAUGAAUAAGGACCGGCUAAUUCCGUG